RNAcentral lists this ribosomal RNA (253 nucleotides) under uncultured bacterium. RNAcentral's name for it is "partial 16S ribosomal RNA". It matches the Rfam family "Bacterial small subunit ribosomal RNA", at positions 524 to 776 of the family's 1533-position model. The record is from RNAcentral.
UACGUAGGGUGCGAGCGUUAAUCGGAAUUACUGGGCGUAAAGCGUGCGCAGGCGGUUCGUUGUGUCGGCGGUGAAAGCCCCGGGCUCAACCUGGGAAUGGCCGUUGAAACUGUCGAACUGGAGUGUGGCAGAGGGAGGUAGAAUUCCACGUGUAGCAGUGAAAUGCGUAGAGAUGUGGAGGAAUACCGAUGGCGAAGGCAGCCUCCUGGGCCAACACUGACGCUCAUGCACGAAAGCGUGGGGAGCAAACAGG